UGUUAUCUUGCAAUAAAGUCAAACAUUACAGAACCUUUGAAAUUUUUCCAUGAUUAUCUACUAUGAUAAAUUAGUGAAAAUAAGGAAAUUCCCACACAGUUGGAAACUUUCCAAUUGAUAUUUACUAUCACUCUUAACUUUUUUAUGUAUUUAUAUAUCUUUGGCUUUCAAAUGUUUUGUUUGAGUGUUCCUGAAGAGUUAAUGCAGGAAAAUGAAUCAACUUUAUGAAGUGUUAUUUUCAUUAUAAAAACUGUAUGAAAUGUUAUUUGGUUGCUGUUUCAAUUGCAUUGCCUCAAUGUUUCCUUCUUCUUGAUGAGAUUUAAAAAGAAAAAGAUCAAUAACAUUAAGCUACUGGCAUUUCUAUCUAUUAUUUAUAUUUUUUUCCUUCUCGUUGAUUGAACUAAAUUCAAUAAUUUACUCCUCCACUUUUUUUCCAUGAAAUCUACCCAAAUGGGCCUCUUGUUUAAGUCAAAAAUUGAAAAUUGAUAUCCCAUCAAUAACGAGGAAAGCCAUAGUAUAUUAACUAAUGAUGACUUUUUUACCUCUAUAAUUAAUCAAAUUCUAGUAUUAAAUACAUCUUUAAAUCAAAUAUUUACUUUUAUAAAUCACAAUAAAUGGCAAUAUGAUAUACAUCAUGUACAUGUGUAUGGCUAAAGGAGGGAUACUUAGGUUAAGGGGAAAUAACUCUAACAAAUUACUUGGAAGUUUAUGUCUACCAUUUUCAUAAUAACUUCUUACUAACAAAUUUGAAUUCUGCUUCACAUGAAUGCUUCAAAAGUCUGGAUGAAACUGACUAUUGCAAAUGUCUUACUGAUUUAAAGAGUUAUUCCCCUUAACUUUGGUCUAGUUAGUUGAAAGAAAAAUACCAAUUCAAGAGAUCAAAUCAUACAACCAAUACAGACUAGAUUGAGGUAAUAAAUAUUCACCGGUGAAAAAUAAUAUAUACAAAUCACUAUAUUUCCUUGUAUUUGAACAACAUGGAAAAAUUAAUAUUUGUAUAAAGUUCUUCCCUUCAGGUAGAAAGGUUG
Molecule: long non-coding RNA, 1028 nt
Filed under: Mytilus galloprovincialis (Mediterranean mussel)
Lineage: Eukaryota; Metazoa; Mollusca; Bivalvia; Mytilida; Mytilidae
Source: RNAcentral